RNAcentral lists this ribosomal RNA (459 nucleotides) under uncultured bacterium. RNAcentral describes it as "partial 16S ribosomal RNA". It matches the Rfam family "Bacterial small subunit ribosomal RNA", at positions 338 to 795 of the family's 1533-position model. The record is from RNAcentral.
CCUACGGGUGGCAGCAGUGAGGAAUAUUGGUCAAUGGUCGGGAGACUGAACCAGCCAAGCCGCGUGAGGGAUGAAGGUACAGAGUAUCGUAAACCUCUUUUGUCAGGGAACAAAGGCGGGGACGUGUCCCCGGAUGAGUGUACCUGAAGAAAAAGCAUCGGCUAACUCCGUGCCAGCAGCCGCGGUAAUACGGAGGAUGCGAGCGUUAUCCGGAUUUAUUGGGUUAAAGGGGUCGGCAGGCGGUCUGUUAAGUCAGCGGUCAAAGCCCGGGGCUCAACCCCGGCCCGCCGUUGAAACUGGCAGUCUCGAGUUGGAGAGAAGUAUGCGGAAUGCGCGGUGUAGCGGUGAAAUGCAUAGAUAUCACGCAGAACUCCGAUUGCGAAGGCAGCUUACUAAGCCAUAACUGACACUGAAGCACGAAAGCGUGGGGAUCAAACAGGAUUAGAUACCCGGGUAGUC